AUUGAACGCUGGCGGCAGGCCUAACACAUGCAAGUCGAACGAGUGGCGGACGGGUGAGUAAUGUCUGGGAAACUGCCUGAUGGAGGGGGAUAACUACUGGAAACGGUAGCUAAUACCGCCUACCAUAGGAAGUGCCCAGAUCGGAUUAGCUAGUAGGGGGGGUAACGGCUCACCUAGGCGACGAUCCCUAGCUGUUCGGAGAGGAUGACCGGCCAAAUGGGACCUGAGACAGGGUCAAGAUUCCACCGGGGGGAAGCGUGGGGAAAUAUUGGACAUGGGGCGAAAGCCGGAGGAAGACAGGCCGCGUGGAGGAAGAGGGCCUUCGGGUUGUAAGGUACUUUCAGCGGGGAGGCGGUACCGGAAGAAGAAGCAACGGCUAACUCCGUGCCAGCAGCCGCGGUAAUUC
Molecule: ribosomal RNA, 406 nt
Filed under: uncultured bacterium
Lineage: Bacteria
Description: partial 16S ribosomal RNA
Rfam family: Bacterial small subunit ribosomal RNA
Source: RNAcentral